This is a long non-coding RNA of Alligator sinensis (Chinese alligator), 685 nucleotides long. RefSeq lists it as uncharacterized. NCBI's taxonomy places the organism in Eukaryota, Metazoa, Chordata, Crocodylia, Alligatoridae. The record is from RefSeq and is a predicted model, not a curated record. The transcript is spliced from 3 exons.
GGCUAUGGCCAAAUCUCUCAUAAAAGGCAUAAAACAGACUCCUUUGUUGGACUUAUGGGCAAAAGAUCUUUAAAUUCUGGAUCCUCUGAAAGGAACACAGCACAGAAUUACGAACGAAGGCGUAAAUAAGACAUUCCUGUGUAUUAUUUAUUAAACUUCAUUUGUUUAAAUGGCCAAUGCAGUGUAAUAUAAAUUAUCCACUGUAAGGAAUAAUUAUUUAUUUAAUAAUAAUUGUUGUUUUUUGAGUUGUAAAUUCAAUAAAAUGAUUAUUUUUCACAUUGUGGCAGCGAUACAUGUUGUGUAAGUGUGUUGUGGUUCCAAAAUAACAGCUCCUUAUGGAACAGAAAUUGAUGAUGUUGCACAGCAAAGCACAUUAUUUGGUAUGACCUGUAAAAUUGUGUUCACCAAACAAACAAACAAAAUUAUUUUGUUAAUUUAAAGCAAUCAUAUCCGCUUCACUACCAAUGCAGAGCAGAACUGGUGUACAGUCUAGUGCCUCAAUUUGUUUCCAUGGUUUAAAAUGUACUGUAAUUUCCAUAUAAAAAUAUAUUUGUAACAUUGCAGCAUGUUUUCUGUUUUGUGGCUACAUAUAUAUAUUUUAAAAAAAAGGUUUGAAUGUGAAUUCAAGGUCUUCAUUUCAUAGUCUGGAAUUUUAUGAUCGUAACAUUUUAAAUAAAAACUACUU